RNAcentral lists this ribosomal RNA (585 nucleotides) under Saccharomyces cerevisiae (brewer's yeast). RNAcentral describes it as "eukaryotic LSU rRNA". It matches the Rfam family "Eukaryotic large subunit ribosomal RNA", at positions 50 to 649 of the family's 3401-position model. Lineage: Eukaryota; Fungi; Ascomycota; Saccharomycetes; Saccharomycetales; Saccharomycetaceae. The record is from RNAcentral.
ACAGAGGAAAAGAAACCAACCGGGAUUGCCUUAGUAACGGCGAGUGAAGCGGCAAAAGCUCAAAUUUGAAAUCUGGUACCUUCGGUGCCCGAGUUGUAAUUUGGAGAGGGCAACUUUGGGGCCGUUCCUUGUCUAUGUUCCUUGGAACAGGACGUCAUAGAGGGUGAGAAUCCCGUGUGGCGAGGAGUGCGGUUCUUUGUAAAGUGCCUUCGAAGAGUCGAGUUGUUUGGGAAUGCAGCUCUAAGUGGGUGGUAAAUUCCAUCUAAAGCUAAAUAUUGGCGAGAGACCGAUAGCGAACAAGUACAGGGAGGGAAAGAUGAAAAGAACUUUGAAAAGAGAGUGAAAAAGUACGUGAAAUUGUUGAAAGGGAAGGGCAUUUGAUCAGACAUGGUGUUUUGUGCCCUCUGCUCCUUGUGGGUAGGGGAAUCUCGCAUUUCACUGGGCCAGCAUCAGUUUUGGUGGCAGGAUAAAUCCAUAGGAAUGUAGCUUGCCUCGGUAAGUAUUAUAGCCUGUGGGAAUACUGCCAGCUGGGACUGAGGACUGCGACGUAAGUCAAGGAUGCUGGCAUAAUGGUUAUAUGCCGCC